RNAcentral lists this ribosomal RNA (497 nucleotides) under uncultured bacterium. RNAcentral describes it as "partial 16S ribosomal RNA". It matches the Rfam family "Bacterial small subunit ribosomal RNA", at positions 28 to 507 of the family's 1533-position model. The record is from RNAcentral.
GAUGAACGCUGGCGGCGUGCCUAAUACAUGCAAGUCGAGCGAACAGACGAGGAGCUUGCUCCUCUGACGUUAGCGGCGGACGGGUGAGUAACACGUGGAUAACCUACCUAUAAGACUGGGAUAACUUCGGGAAACCGGAGCUAAUACCGGAUAAUAUAUUGAACCCCAUGGUUCAAUAGUGAAAGACGGUUUUGCUGUCACUUAUAGAUGGAUCCGCGCCGCAUUAGCUAGUUGGUAAGGUAACGGCUUACCAAGGCGACGAUGCGUAGCCGACCUGAGAGGGUGAUCGGCCACACUGGAACGGAGACACGGUCCAGACUCCUACGGGAGGCAGCAGUAGGGAAUCUUCCGCAAUGGGCGAAAGCCUGACGGAGCAACGCCGCGUGAGUGAUGAAGGUCUUCGGAUCGUAAAACUCUGUUAUUAGGGAAGAACAAAUGUGUAAGUAACUAUGCACGUCUUGACGGUACCUAAUCAGAAAGCCACGGCUAACUACGUG